AGAGACAUAGCCUUAUGGGGACAUGGCCGUAUGGGGACAUGGUGCUUAUAGAGAGACAUGGCCUUAUGGGGACAUGCCCUUAUGGGGACAUGGUGCUUAUAGAGAGACAUAGCCUUAUGGGGACAUGGUGCUUAUAGAGAGAUAUAGCCUUAUGGGGACAUGGCCUUAUGGGGACAUGGUGCUUAUAGAGAGACAUAGCCUUAUGGGGACAUGGCCUUUUGGGGACAUGGUGCUUAUAGAGACAUAGCCUUAUGGGGACAUGGCCUUAUGGGGACAUGGUGCUUAUAGAGAAACAUAGCCUUAUGGGGACAUGGCCUUUUGGGGACAUGGUGCUUAUAGAGACAUAGCCUUAUGGGGACAUGGCCUUAUGGGGACAUGGUGCUUAUAGAGAGACAUAGCCUUAUGGGGACAUGGCCUUAUGGGGACAUGGUGCUUAUAGAGAAACAUAGCCUUAUGGGGACAUGGUGCUUAGCACUCCCUCUUAAGGCCUAAUAACACAGUGCAGAAAUACAAUAUGGUGCUUUACAGUAGAUUGAGGUUGGAAAAGGGAUAAGACUGCAGACAAUCAUCUUUGAAGAGGACCGACAGUCAUCAGACCACAUUAUGGGAAUUACGCCACAUUAUGGUCUUCAUCAGAAUUUGACCAUGUGUGUCUUUUAUAGAGGAGAGAUUUGAUUCUAAGGACAUUGUGCAAGUUUUUUUCAACAAAAAAAAACCCAAUGUUGUGCCAAGAUUGACAAUUCAUGUUGGCGUUCUUUCUUUGGGUUUUGUAGUCAGAGUCAUGAUUGGAUGUUAUUGAUACAUGCUGACUGAUAACUUUUGAAGUGAAAGCCAUAUAACACUCAAUCCACAAAAACUGCAGGGGCCAUACUUAUGAUUUAGCAUGUUAGCAGCUAACAAGGAUGGAUUUUAACCUGAAGGGACCCAUACUUAUGAUUUAGCAUGUUAGCGGCUAACUAGCACAGGUUUAAACCUGAAAGACCCAUACUUCUGAUUUAGCAUGUUAGCGGCUAACAAGCACAGGUUUAAACCUGAAAGACCCAUACUUCUGAUUUAGCAUGUUAGCGGCUAACUAGCACAGGUUUAAACCUGAAAGACCCAUACUUCUGAUUUAGCAUGUUAGCGGCUAACUAGCACAGGUUUAAACCUGAAAGACCCAUACUUCUGAUUUAGCAUGUUAGCGGCUAACUAGCACAGGUUUAAACCUGCAGGUAACAUCUUUAGCAGCUUUUCGCAUUUCCAAUUAGAAAACAUGUCUUACUUGGGAACUCUAACUGGCUCUUAAUCAAAACAAAGGAACAGUUCACUCUUUAUUUAUGUCAAAUGAACACAUGGUCAAAUUAAAGAAACGCUUCAAGAGGAAGUUGUAGUUUUCUACCAGCUCUGAUACUGUACCUAUAAAUAGAUCAAACUAAUACUUUUAACCUUAACAGUGUUCCUCACAAACUAAACCAGGGUCGUAUUCAUUAGUGCACAUCGUAGGAAAAACAUUUAACAAGGGAAAAAUGAAAAUGAGUUUCUUAUUGGACAGAUUCAAGUAGUCCCUCCCUGUUUCAGUCCAUUUUCAUCCAUUGGGUGACUAACACAACCCAGUUCCCUCUCCUCCCUCUAUUCUUCCAAUAUAAUGUGCUUCCUUCUUGUUCACAUGGCUGAUAUUGGUUUGUUCUGAGUAUUUAUAUAAUCUCCCUGUUUUUAUUUUUUAUCCUGUUUGUACAUAUGAAUAUUAAACAGCCUUGUCAUUUUCCAAUACAUAUUUGAUCAAUAAUUUUAAAUGCAAUUUUUAAUAAAAUUAUAAUAAAAUAAAAAUCUUGUUGUGAUAUUAUUCAGUGACAGAACAGAAGAGAGGUACUUGUUACCAGAGUAAUCAUAGGCAAAAACUUCAAAUUUGUAUAUAUUUGUGUGCAGCUAUAUUAGAUUCUAGUAACGUAUCAGUUUUGUCAUGGACUGGACAGCUGUCUCUAUACCAUCGUUCCUGUUCUAUACCAAACAUUACAUACAACACACACAACUAAGAGAAAAAAAUGCAAAAUUCCCAAGUUAACACAGUUGGAAGAUUCUGGGAAUAUUUUUUAUUUAAUUUUUUUUAACUAGGCAAGUCAGUUAAGAACAAAUUCUUAUUUACAGUGACGGCCUAAACCGGGCCAAACCCGGACGACGCCGGGCCAAUUGUGCUUCGCCCUAUGGGACUCCCACUCACGGCCGGGUUAUGAUACAGCCUGGAUUCUGACUCCUCAAGCACCGAGAUGCUGCGCCACUCAGGUGCCCCAAUCAUGAGGGAACAAGAACAUCCUCCAAACAGGAUCUCCAAAACAACUGGGACAGGAAGAAAAAUCAUUACAUUUCUCUACAACGAAAAUGUUGUAAAAAUCAGAGAGAAUCAAAACGUCCUCUCCCCUCCUCCGGGUCUCUCAAUUCACAGGUUGUAAAAUCUCUCAAAAUCAUGGACAGAAACAAAAUAUUUUACAGCAGUUUUAAUGAGAACAGACUUUCAUAUGCAAACCAGUGACCGUUACGGUCUGAGAAAAUAGCUCAUUUGAACUUGUAAUUUACAUGGAUAUUUUGAUGGAUUUGUGGAACAAAAAAAAAUGGGUUGCUUUUUGUAUGAACAUAACAUAUUGUACUGUACUACAGCUCUCGGGGAUAGCAUCCCAAAUGGCACCCUAUUCCCUAUAUAGUGCACUACUUUAGACCAGGAACCUAUGGACCCUAAAAGUAGUGCACUAUAUAGGGAAUAGGGCGCCAUUUGGGAUGCUCCCCUACUCUGAGACGUUUCACACCCAGUGUCCACUGAGCACACUGCAGGCCAAACGCAGUGUCCACUGAGCACACUGCAGGCCAAACGCAGUGUCCACUGAGCACACUGCAGGCCAAAC
Molecule: long non-coding RNA, 2873 nt
Organism: Oncorhynchus tshawytscha (Chinook salmon)
Lineage: Eukaryota; Metazoa; Chordata; Actinopteri; Salmoniformes; Salmonidae
Source: Ensembl